RNAcentral lists this ribosomal RNA (454 nucleotides) under uncultured Porphyromonadaceae bacterium. Its description in RNAcentral is "bacterial SSU rRNA". It matches the Rfam family "Bacterial small subunit ribosomal RNA", at positions 341 to 792 of the family's 1533-position model. The record is from RNAcentral. Lineage: Bacteria; Pseudomonadati; Bacteroidota; Bacteroidia; Bacteroidales; Porphyromonadaceae.
ACGGAAGGCAGCAGUGGGGAAUAUUGGUCAAUGGGCGGAAGCCUGAACCAGCCAUGUCGCGUGCAGGACUACGGCCCUACGGGUCUUAAACUGCUUUUGCAAGGGGAUAAAGUGGGGCACGCGUGCCCCCUUGCAGGUACCUUGCGAAUAAGGAUCGGCUAACUCCGUGCCAGCAGCCGCGGUAAUACGGAGGAUCCGAGCGUUAUCCGGAUUUAUUGGGUUUAAAGGGUGCGUAGGCGGGCUGUUAAGUCAGCGGUGAAACCCCCGGGCUCAACCCGGGGACUGCCAUUGAAACUGGCGGCCUUGAGUACGUUGGGAGUGCGCGGAAUGUGUGGUGUAGCGGUGAAAUGCAUAGAUAUCACACAGAACACCGAUCGCGUAGGCAGCGCACUACGCCGCAACUGACGCUGAGGCACGAAGGCGCGGGGAUCGAACAGGAUUAGAUACCCUGGUA